Macaca mulatta (Rhesus monkey) is the source of this 2126-nucleotide non-coding RNA. Lineage: Eukaryota; Metazoa; Chordata; Mammalia; Primates; Cercopithecidae. The record is from RefSeq and is a predicted model, not a curated record.
UGGCUUCUUUCUGCGUGAUGCUAUGCAGCUAGGAUGGGUCACGCUGACAACAAAGAAGGAAGCAGAAAGCAUCACUUUCUCUUCUCUUGUGAUGUUAGCGGAACAUAACUCUUCUUCGCAGUGAUGCCCUCCUCUCUGUGUGUGUGUGUGUGUGUGUGUGUAUGCGUGUUUUAAUUCAUCUAAUCGAAGAGCCUAGCAAACAUCAUCAUGGACGUGGUUUUUAAUGAUUUGGAAAAAGCAAAAAAAAGACAGCCUGUGGAGACAGCGAUUCGAAACAGCGGCACAUUUAGGUUAUUGCCAAUUUGAAAUACUUGGUUUGUGAAGCUGAGCCCUAAGGGACAAGCUCGGUAACUGAGGAAGAGAUCGUAGAUAAAGAAAUAAAAAUGACAAGCGUAAUGGAGGCUCUGCGAAGGGACUGUCAGAGCAUCAGUUCAUGGAUGGCAAUUUCGCCAGGCUGAGAUUGAAUAAUUCAUAGAUUGAAAUUACCCUGCUUUCACCUUUCCAUUUAAACCGGCAUGAUCUGAAUCUCUAAUAAAUUUUCAAGAUAAAGUAAAAUGCCAAUUUGAAUCUGAAGAGCUUUUAAAACCAGAUGCUGCAUCCCUGCAUCUUUCGGUAUCUUUCACAAUUAUCCUAUGAGAACAGCACUUCAUCACGAAGCACCAUUACCAGGGAAAAUUACUGUGAUUACAAUAGCAACAAUAGAACACCAUCAAAUGAUCUCUAAUUUACCUAAUUUGCUAAGACUGACUGUGUGGUUUUGAUAUCCAUUGUAUGUCACCAUGCCCGGCACCCGUGAAGCUAUCUCGCGCUGGAACAAAAGUGGCAUCGUGUGUGUGUGUGUGUGCGCGUGUGUGUGUGUGUGCACGCACAUCCUGCUACCUUAACUGUGAAAGCCUGGCAAAGAAUAUUCUCCUAGGUUACCAUAUUUCUUUCCUUUGGUUCACAUUUUUGCUUUUUUCCAAUGCCUCUACCCCAAACGUGUUUGGGGAAAUGGAGAGCCUGUCAUGGAUGACUGUUUUUUGAUACAGAAGAGCAUUGAUUUGUUAAUUUAUAUACCCACUUUACUUUAAUGUCUACAAGCAUGUGUUUACUAAAAGGGAGGUAGGAUGCUGUUCUGGGAGAGUAGUUUUAAAAUGCAGCCGAGAUGUAGCAUAUGUGUUUGUUUCUUCCUUGAAACGCCUGUCUGUCUCUUUCAGGUUAGAAAUCCUUUCCGGGAACUUUAGUCCUGGUGUGAUGUGUCAGAAGCCUCUCAGAUUGCAAAGAAGCUCGGGAGAGACAAUCAGUAAUAACUCUAUACAGCUUUUAUUAAAAGCAUGCAUGUUCAAUUCAGUGAUUAAAUGAAGCUUCGGUACAACUUUGGCUAUGUUUAUGCCUGCUCACUCUGGAGUAAAAGUCUGUACUAAAGAGAACUUUUUGGGACAGGCUGCACGGUUCAUCUCAGGGUAAUUGUGCCAUCCUGAGAAGGUGGCAUGGAUCAUAAAUCCUCCCUGGAGAACAGACUGUAAUCAUUAAUAGGCACAAUGGCUUGUGGAAUUUUACUUUCAAUAGUAUGAAGGUAGUAUGUGGGUUUCUGCUAGUCAAGUGAUUUAAGUGUGGUUAUCUAAGGUAGGGCUUCGGAGGUACGACAACCAUCUGGGAGGAAGAUUUACCCCUUCCCUUAUCCUGUGACCCAACAAAUACCGUUGUCAGAGCAGAACUGGAAAUAUCGACAAACAGCAUUGAAGGCUCCUGGACUACCACAGUAGGUGAUCUCUAGUGAAGAAGGUUGAGAUUUGCAUGCAGUAUUUCCAGAAUGUUGAAUAUCAGCAUGGAUCACUGCAAAGAAGUUGGAACUCAUCUCACAUGAACUUCUCAGGUGAAAAGGGACUUGACAACUGAGACUUCUCUAAUAAGUGCAAAAAUUAUGUUCUCUUACAAGACCACCAACAUGCUUCAAACGUUAGUGAGAUAAAACAGCAGGAGGGUUUGGAACUCUGGAUCCUCAGCCUGGAUGUGUCACAAUUUAAUCCCAAAGGUUUGCUGUGAAGUUGUGAGCAUGACAGCGUGAAACUCGACAGAUUAUUCUUGAAUUCUUUGUUUGUUUUCGUUGUGACCUGACUCUCAUAAAAUUUAUGUUUUCUUCCAAA